RNAcentral lists this unclassified non-coding RNA (158 nucleotides) under uncultured Beauveria. RNAcentral's name for it is "sequence contains ITS1". Lineage: Eukaryota; Fungi; Ascomycota; Sordariomycetes; Hypocreales; Cordycipitaceae. The record is from RNAcentral.
CUGAGUUCUAAACUCCAAACCUUUGUGAACAUACCAUUGUUGCUUCGGCGGGUUCGUCCCGGGCGCGCCUUCUGGCGUGACCCGGAAUCAGGCGCCCGCCGGGGGAUCUAAACUCUUGUUUUCUAGAGAUUAUCUGAGUGGCAUAAGCAAAUAAAUCA